UGGGGUAUUAGUUCCUUCACCAAAGAACUCUUUUUUCUAAAAAGAUAGUCCUAUUACUGACGAACACCUUCUAUUCAUCAGAAAGGUAGAAGUAAUAUCCCUUGGUCUCUUUUAGGUACCCUAUAAAUAGAUAUUUGUCAGAUCUAGGUCCAAGAUUGUCAGUUUUCAAUCGUUUGACAUAAAUCGGGUAUCUCCAAAUCCUCAGGUGAGAGAGUGCUAGCUUACAUCCUGUCCACAUCUCAUGUGGUAU
Molecule: long non-coding RNA, 250 nt
Filed under: Elaeis guineensis (African oil palm)
Lineage: Eukaryota; Viridiplantae; Streptophyta; Magnoliopsida; Arecales; Arecaceae
Description: long non-coding RNA (EGUI_LNC045744)
Source: RNAcentral